UACGGAGGAUGCAAGCGUUAUCCGGAAUGAUUGGGCGUAAAGCGUCCGCAGGUGGCUGUGUAAGUCUGCUGUCAAAGAGCAAAGCUCAACUUUGUAAAGGCAGUGGAAACUACACGGCUAGAGUGCGUUCGGGGCAGAGGGAAUUCCUGGUGUAGCGGUGAAAUGCGUAGAGAUCAGGAAGAACACCGGUCGCGAAGGCGCUCUGCUAGGCCGCAACUGACACUGAGGGACGAAAGCUAGGGGAGCGAAUGGG
This 253-nucleotide ribosomal RNA is filed under the name uncultured bacterium. RNAcentral describes it as "partial 16S ribosomal RNA". It matches the Rfam family "Bacterial small subunit ribosomal RNA", at positions 524 to 776 of the family's 1533-position model. The record is from RNAcentral.